CGAGGUGGAAGCGUGGUGACACGUGGAGCUGACGAAUACUAAUCGAUCGAAGACUUAAUCAAUUU
This 65-nucleotide ribosomal RNA is filed under the name Staphylococcus epidermidis. Its description in RNAcentral is "partial 23S ribosomal RNA". The record is from RNAcentral. Lineage: Bacteria; Bacillati; Bacillota; Bacilli; Caryophanales; Staphylococcaceae.